UUUAAAUUGAGAGUUUGAUCCUGGCUCAGGACGAACGCUGGCGGCGUGCCUAACACAUGCAAGUCGAGCGAUGAAACUUCCUUCGGGAAGUGGAUUAGCGGCGGACGGGUGAGUAACACGUGGGUAACCUGCCUCAAAGAGGGGGAUAGCCUC
This 153-nucleotide ribosomal RNA is filed under the name Clostridium botulinum C/D. Its description in RNAcentral is "partial 16S ribosomal RNA". It matches the Rfam family "Bacterial small subunit ribosomal RNA", at positions 1 to 150 of the family's 1533-position model. Lineage: Bacteria; Bacillati; Bacillota; Clostridia; Eubacteriales; Clostridiaceae. The record is from RNAcentral.